This 1805-nucleotide long non-coding RNA is filed under the name Felis catus (domestic cat). Its description in RNAcentral is "lncRNA (ENSFCAG00000051371.1)". The record is from RNAcentral. Lineage: Eukaryota; Metazoa; Chordata; Mammalia; Carnivora; Felidae.
CUCCAUGAUGCCAGAUGACACACACCCAGGAGCCCUAAGGUAUCACUUCUCAAGAUCACACCCAGUGACUCAUUCUUUAAACGUUGGCUUCCUCUUCCUGUCCUGCUGAACUCUGCUGUUUGGGGGAACUUUCUGUUUCCACCAGAGAGGACAACGUAGUGAAUUGUGCACCCAGCGGCAGCAGCGCCCGGUUAGCUCGGAGUCGCGCACCAACCGCAGCCGCCACCCAGGCCCCGCCCAGAGGCAGCCGCGAGCAAGGCCGCGCCAGGGACGACUGCGGAGCGCGGUGAGUGAGCCGGGCCAGUAGGGAGGGUCCCAGGCGUCCCGGGCCCCGCCCCGCCCCUACCCCGGGCGGGCACCCCGACCUUCAGCUCCUCCUUGCUUCUGGACUCUGUGGCUCAGUUUCAGGGCCCCAGAGCCUCCCUGAGAAAGGACCCCGGGCCCCUUCCUUGCGCCGGGCCUCGGGCACACCAGUUCCUCGGACCCCUCCCUUCUUGCGGGAAUCAUGAAUCGGACGCCCCCAGCAGCAUCCCUCUCCCUCCCCGCUCCCCCAGCCCCCGGCCCGGUCCUCCUCGAGCUUCCCUGCCCCUCCCUCUCUCCGGGAGCCAGGAAUGCAGGCCAAAAAUAUCUCUCAGCUCCAGACCUGGGAGGCUCGGCUUGCGAGCACAUCUGAGCGGAUGAAAACCCAGGAGUGUGAGCUUUGAUUGUUUUUUGCGUCAGGAAUCUGGGCCUCCAGCCUAGGCGUCGUUUGGAACCUGGGAGUCCCGUGCUCCGACUCCCACCGCCCGAGAUCCAGACAUUUUGCUGUCAACAUCCCUUCCCCCCGCCCCCAUCGACUGUGAGCUGGGACCCAGGAGUCCCGUCCACCAAUGGGCGAGUCCCAGCGUAAAUGAGGAUUUGGGGACCCAGGAGUCGCCGACCUCAGCCCAGCUCUUAAAGCCUAAGGAUCGGCUCUUUCAGGGACCCUGGCCCACAGACCCCAUCAAACUGACAGGCCCGGUGCCCCCACCCACCGCGACCCAGAUGUCCAAGAUUGCAUCCGGCCUGGAAGAGCCAGACUGCAGCAGGCGACGAGGGGAGGGGGCCGGAAGGGAAAGGGAGAAUUGAGGGAGGUGAUACCGGGGUGGGGACCUGGGCUGGGGGCUCCUUCCAAAACAGACGCCAAACAGACGGGUUGCCAUGGCAACGGCCUUCCCGGGCCUCCCCUGGAGACUGCGCUAGGGCCGAGUCGGGGAGGGCAGCCCCCAGGAGCCCCCACACCGCCAGCUGUUGUAUCUUCCUGUUUUGUCACCACGGCAACAGUGACCUCAGCCCUCCACCCCGCCCCCCCCCCCCCCCGCACUGGCGGGGCCGGAGAGCCCAGGUCCUUUUUUCCCGGGGAGGGGCGUGGUCUUUUCUCGGCUCCGCCUCAGGGGCGGGCCUGGGAUACCCCUGGCUCAGGGAGUCCCUUUCUCAGCGCUGGCCCCGCGCUCGCGCCGGGUCCCCGGCCCCGCCCCCGCCCCGGCCCCGCCCCCGCCCACCAACCCCACCCAGUUAGCAAACGCUUCCAGUCUGCAGCUGUCGCCUCUGUCUCAGCAGCAGCCGCCACAGCCCGAGAGGUGUCUGACCUAAUCCACCUCCAGAGCCGGAUCUUUCUGCGUCUGGGUCCUCCGCAAAGACUGCUGGUGUCUGGUGUGCCCAAGGCUGAGGGCCCAGAGUCCUGGGGUCUGAAGCUGUGUAACAGGACGUGAGAGGCCUGGAGGUUUCCGUGGAAGGGGCUGGGUCUCGGAGAGCCAAGCUUCUUGCGCGCCCUGGGGAAUUUGGAG